Molecule: ribosomal RNA, 253 nt
Filed under: uncultured bacterium
Lineage: Bacteria
Description: partial 16S ribosomal RNA
Rfam family: Bacterial small subunit ribosomal RNA
Source: RNAcentral
UACGUAGGGUGCGAGCGUUGUCCGGAAUUACUGGGCGUAAAGCGUGCGCAGGCGGCGCGUUAAGACAGGUGUGAAAGCCCCGAGCUUAACUUGGGAAUUGCGCUUGUGACUGGCGUGCUGGAGUGUGGCAGAGGGAGGUGGAAUUCCACGUGUAGCAGUGAAAUGCGUAGAGAUGUGGAGGAACACCGAUGGCGAAGGCAGCCUCCUGGGCCAGCACUGACGCUCAUGCACGAAAGCGUGGGGAGCAAACAGG